GUACACUCCUGCGGGAGGCAGCAGUGGGGAAUUUUGGACAAUGGGCGAAAGCCUGAUCCAGCAAUGCCGCGUGAGUGAAGAAGGCCUUCGGGUUGUAAAGCUCUUUUGUCAGGGAAGAAACGGUGAAAGCUAAUAUCUUUUGCUAAUGACGGUACCUGAAGAAUAAGCACCGGCUAACUACGUGCCAGCAGCCGCGGUAAUACGUAGGGUGCAAGCGUUAAUCGGAAUUACUGGGCGUAAAGCGUGCGCAGGCGGUUUUGUAAGUCUGAUGUGAAAUCCCCGGGCUCAACCUGGGAAUUGCAUUGGAGACUGCAAGGCUAGAAUCUGGCAGAGGGGGGUAGAAUUCCACGUGUAGCAGUGAAAUGCGUAGAUAUGUGGAGGAACACCGAUGGCGAAGGCAGCCCCCUGGGUCAAGAUUGACGCUCAUGCACGAAAGCGUGGGGAGCAAACAGGAUUAGAAACCCUGGUAGUCCC
Molecule: ribosomal RNA, 474 nt
Filed under: uncultured organism
Description: partial 16S ribosomal RNA
Rfam family: Bacterial small subunit ribosomal RNA
Source: RNAcentral